GCGCCGAUGGUCUAAUGGUUAUGAUCCUGGCCUUCCAAGCCAGUUGUCCGGGUUCGAAUCCCGGUCGGCGCA
Molecule: transfer RNA, 72 nt
Filed under: Candidatus Woesearchaeota archaeon
Lineage: Archaea; Nanobdellati; Candidatus Woesearchaeota
Also listed under: 1 other name
Description: tRNA-Gly
Rfam family: tRNA
About the family: Transfer RNA (tRNA) molecules are approximately 80 nucleotides in length. Their secondary structure includes four short double-helical elements and three loops (D, anti-codon, and T loops).
Source: RNAcentral